UCAAACUUGGUCAUUUAGAGGAAGUAAAAGUCGUAACAAGGUUUCCGUAGGUGAACCUGCGGAAGGAUCAUUAUCGAGUUCUGAAACGGGUUGUAGCUGGCCUUCCGAGGCAUGUGCACGCCCUGCUCAUCCACUCUACACCUGUGCACUUACUGUGGGUAAUGUUCAGGAGCGUCGUUCACGCGACGUUGCUGCGUUGCCUACGUCUUUACUACAUACGCUUCAGUAUCAGAAUGUGUAUUGCGAUGUAACGCAUCUAUAUACAACUUUCAGCAACGGAUCUCUUGGCUCUCGCAUCGAUGAAGAACGCAGC
This 313-nucleotide unclassified non-coding RNA is filed under the name uncultured fungus. RNAcentral describes it as "partial contains small subunit ribosomal RNA, internal transcribed spacer 1, and 5.8S ribosomal RNA". The stretch from base 1 to 73 matches the Rfam family "Eukaryotic small subunit ribosomal RNA", at positions 1759 to 1831 of the family's 1831-position model. The record is from RNAcentral. Lineage: Eukaryota; Fungi.